Molecule: non-coding RNA, 82 nt
Organism: Mobula hypostoma (lesser devil ray)
Lineage: Eukaryota; Metazoa; Chordata; Chondrichthyes; Myliobatiformes; Myliobatidae
Source: the annotation of a RefSeq genome assembly
GUCACAAUGGCCGAGUGGUUAAGGCGUUGGACUCGAAAUCCAAUGGGAACUCCUUGCACAGGUUUGAAUCCUGUUUGUGACG